Mytilus trossulus (common blue mussel) is the source of this 745-nucleotide RNA transcript. It is a transcript of the gene named keratin-associated protein 19-2-like, with no coding region annotated. The transcript is spliced from 5 exons. The record is from RefSeq and is a predicted model, not a curated record. Lineage: Eukaryota; Metazoa; Mollusca; Bivalvia; Mytilida; Mytilidae.
GGAAGUAAGAAAAAUGGAAAAAAAAGGAUGACCGAUUCACGUUUUUGGAGUACCCAAUCCGUUUUAUUACAUAAAGAAUGUCAAACCAGUAUAUAAACUGGAAUUGAUCUUUACAAUAUUCAUGACAAUCAGGAGUCUCACUCGGACAGGAUGAAGAUUGCCAUCAUCAUUAUUCUAUGUUCGUGUGUGGUAGCACUGACCAGUGCCGGCGGAUAUGGCUAUGGCUAUGGCGGCGGCAACUAUGGUGGUAAUAGCGGGUACGGAGGGUAUGGCGGAUACAGCGGUUAUGGCAAGGGAUAUGGUGGAUACAGCGGUUAUGGCAAGGGGUAUGGACAAGGCUAUGGAGGUUCUGCAGUUUAUCAGGCAUAUCCUUAUCCACUCCCAGAGUUUCCAGUUCCUGUAUCUGGUUCGAUUGGAGGUGGUGGAGGUGGCCUCGGUGGCUUCGGUGGAGGAGGAGGAGGAGGUGGAAUCUUUGGCUUUGGUGGCGGAGGAGGUGGUUAUGGUGGCCAAGCCAGCAAUCCUAUUUGGUGGUUAAUUGGCGCUGCAGCCCUUUGGGCACUACUCCGCAAUAACAAUGAUGACAAUACUGGUUAAUUCUGAUAACAAAUGUUAUAAAUACCUAAGCUAUGGAACUGGCUAGUUUGUAUAUAGAUAUCUGUCAAUACGCUGUGAUGUUACUGGUCGUCAAUACCAAAUCUCUUGAUGUUUUUUAUUUCAUAUUAUAAUAAAUGGAUGCAUAUGUAGA